Molecule: long non-coding RNA, 693 nt
Filed under: Fukomys damarensis (Damara mole-rat)
Lineage: Eukaryota; Metazoa; Chordata; Mammalia; Rodentia; Bathyergidae
Description: lncRNA (ENSFDAG00000024282.1)
Source: RNAcentral
GUUCUUGGUAUGUUAGUGGGUGUUGUGCACAUACAGGGUUAUAAAAACAAGUAUAGAAUACAUUGAGUUAGACAUGUUAAACAGAUUUAGUUUUGCUCAUGGCUUCUCUGCAGCCUUCACAAAGACUGUAGAACAAAGAAGCUCUCAGAUUUAUUGGAUCAAAGAAUUCCUUUAAAAAAAGAUUAUGAGGCAGGGACUCACUUUAGAGAAUAUGCUCGUUUCCAAUUUUUAAAUUUUAUUUAUUUUCUUGAAAAUUUGCAGCAUCUUUCUACCUUUUCCUGUUGAAAAAUUCUGAGCCUAUGGAAAAGUACAUGACCACUACAGUCCACAUACCCCAAUGAGAAUCACUAAUUUCUAACAUUUUAUCGCAUUUGUUCAUUUUCUUUCCCCAUUCCUCCUGCUCCCUGCCUUUUUCAAAUCCUGCAUGGUCUUUUUGCUUCCUGACGACAGAGAGGAUCUUGUGGAUGUCACUGAGAUAUGCUUGUUUGCCUUUGGAGAAAUAACUGUCCAUGCUUCAAUGCCAAUGCCCGUAGGAAGACUUUUCUUCUCAGCAACCCCCAGCUGACCAGUGUUACCUUGCAGAAUUUCCUGCAGCUAUGAAAAUGCUCCAUCACCCUACUGUCUAGUAUGAUUGCCACUAGGUACGUGCUGUGCACACAUGGGAUUUCGAAAAAGUGCAAUAAGAAUGUAAAA